This 1258-nucleotide long non-coding RNA is filed under the name Crocodylus porosus (Australian saltwater crocodile). RNAcentral describes it as "lncRNA (ENSCPRG00005006711.1)". Lineage: Eukaryota; Metazoa; Chordata; Crocodylia; Crocodylidae. The record is from RNAcentral.
UUGGCAGUUUGUGUAUUUUUAAUUGCACUGGUUACUGCUCAGCACUACUAUAUGACUAUGUAGGUAUUUGGCUCCAUAGACAUUUUUAAAAAAAAUCCUAUGAAAGCAACAUGUUCCAUUGAACACAAAUUCCUUUCCCUGAAUGAAAGAAUAACCUACGUGUGACAAUGUCAGUCAAAUAACAGCACAAUUCUGAAAGGCACUCAGAUUUGUGACGUCCCAGUUGUGGAAGUCAGGAAGCACCCAGAUAUUAUGAGUUAUAAUACGAGCUAUAGAAUACUUGCUAACACAGAGAAGAGUGUCACAAUUAGCUGCAAACUCAAGUUCAGAUCCAUGUUUGUACUGAAACACUCCAGAGCCCAGAUGUUAACGGGGUUUUUCCAUUUUGUUCUAGGUCAGGGGUGUCCAAUUUCUAAGCACCCAGGGGCCACAGGCAUUGGAGGCCUUACAAGUGAGCCACAGGCCACUGGGUUGCGCAGACACUCCCCCACACCCUCCUGUUGCACUGUACACCUGCAUGGGCACCUCCAUACUACUGCACUGGGCACCCAACUCCUUGCUACACUGCACAGUCAGGCAAUUGGACAACUGGAGAACUACUAGGUUCAUGAUAUCACAGGGCAAGAACACAGGCAAGUUUGUCAGAUUUGCUUAUGGAAGGAAGGGACAUCACUUCCUCUACAGAAGGCCUGUGUGGUUGGAGAGGGCAGGACUGUUGGACAACUCUUCUCCUAAUCUUCAACAACAACCUAAAUACUGUGGAAUCCUCCAAAACUCAAGAGGAAAGGGUUUGGGGAAACUGUCCAGUAGGAAGGACCCUAGGAGGAGCUGUGCUACCAACAGGACUGAAGGGAACAAAGAAGCCAAGAGCUGGCAUGAAGGGCCACAGUAAAAGAAAGAAACACAGUUGCAUCAAGGACCAGACCCUACAAACUCAUACACAUGACACGAGUCAUCUUCAGAAAGGAGAAAUCCCAAGUUUAGAGGAAAUGAGCACUCGAUUAUUUAAAUUUCCUGAGAUUAGAGGAAGAACACUUUGCCAAACAAUGCCUCUUCACUUCAAAACCUCUCCUCAUAAAUUAUGUUAGGAGAUCUUAUUAAAAGUCUGUAAAAAUUUCCUAUUAAAAAUGGUUGAUUGCAGUCCAGACCAUCACAGCUUUUGUGCUUUCGUUGAAAUACCACAGCUGUCGCAAAGAAAUAUACUGUGAGACAAAAGGUUUUGUUUCCUUUGUAAUAAAUUAUUUUUGUGAUAUCCGAA